Molecule: non-coding RNA, 109 nt
Organism: Acanthosepion pharaonis
Lineage: Eukaryota; Metazoa; Mollusca; Cephalopoda; Sepiida; Sepiidae
Source: the annotation of a GenBank genome assembly
UGGCCACAUUACGUUGUGACACAAGUUCCCCUACGAUCUCCAAAGUUAAGCAACUUCAAGCUUAGUCAGUACUUAGAUGGAUGACCACUUGGGAACAUGAGGGUCUGUA